UACGAAGGGGGCUAGCGUUGUUCGGAUUUACUGGGCGUAAAGCGCACGUAGGCGGCCAACUAAGUCAGACGUGAAAUCCCCAGGCUCAACCUGGGAACUGCGUCUGAUACUGGAUGGCUUGAAUCCGGGAGAGGGAUGCAGAAUUCCAGGUGUGGCGGUGAAAUGCGUAGAUAUCUGGAGGAAUACCGGUGGCGAAGGCGGCAUCCUGGACCGGCAUUGACGCUGAGGAGCGAAAGCUAGGGGAGCAAACGGG
Molecule: ribosomal RNA, 253 nt
Filed under: uncultured bacterium
Lineage: Bacteria
Description: partial 16S ribosomal RNA
Rfam family: Bacterial small subunit ribosomal RNA
Source: RNAcentral